GCAGUCGGACGGGAUCCAUUGAUAGCUUGCUAUCAAUGGUGAGAGUGGCGCACGGGUGCGUAACGCGUGAGCAACCUACCUCCAUCAGGGGGAUAGCCUCUCGAAAGAGAGAUUAACACCGCAUAAUAUCAACAGUUCGCAUGUUCAGUUGAUUAAAUAUUUAUAGGAUGGAGAUGGGCUCGCGUGACAUUAGCUAGUUGGUAGGGUAACGGCUUACCAAGGCGACGAUGUCUAGGGGCUCUGAGAGGAGAAUCCCCCACACUGGUACUGAGACACGGACCAGACUCCUACGGGAGGCAGCAGUAAGGAAUAUUGGUCAAUGGGCGGAAGCCUGAACCAGCCAUGCCGCGUGCAGGAUGACUGCCCUAUGGGUUGUAAACUGCUUUUGUCCAGGAAUAAACCUAAAUACGAGUAUUUAGCUGAAUGUACUGGAAGAAUAAGGAUCGGCUAACUCCGUGCCAGCAGCCGCGGUAAUACGGAGGAUCCGAGCGUUAUCCGGAUUUAUUGGGUUUAAAGGGUGCGUAGGCGGCCUGUUAAGUCAGGGGUGAAAUACGGUGGCUCAACCAUCGCAGUGCCUUUGAUACUGAUGGGCUUGAAUCCAUUUGAAGUGGGCGGAAUAAGACAAGUAGCGGUGAAAUGCAUAGAUAUGUCUUAGAACUCCGAUUGCGAAGGCAGCUCACUAAGCUGGUAUUGACGCUGAUGCACGAAAGCGUGGGGAUCGAACAGGAUUAGAUACCCUGGUAGUCCACGCCCUAAACGAUGAUAACUCGAUGUUGGCGAUAGACAGCCAGCGUCUUAGCGAAAGCGUUAAGUUAUCCACCUGGGGAGUACGCCCGCAAGGGUGAAACUCAAAGGAAUUGACGGGGGCCCGCACAAGCGGAGGAGCAUGUGGUUUAAUUCGAUGAUACGCGAGGAACCUUACCCGGGCUUGAAAGUUAGUGAAGGUAGCAGAGACGCUACCGUCCUUCGGGACACGAAACUAGGUGCUGCAUGGCUGUCGUCAGCUCCUGCCCCUGAGGUGUUGGGGUUAAUUCCCGCAACGAGGGCAACCCC
This 1053-nucleotide ribosomal RNA is filed under the name Sphingobacterium sp. RNAcentral describes it as "bacterial SSU rRNA". It matches the Rfam family "Bacterial small subunit ribosomal RNA", at positions 57 to 1105 of the family's 1533-position model. Lineage: Bacteria; Pseudomonadati; Bacteroidota; Sphingobacteriia; Sphingobacteriales; Sphingobacteriaceae. The record is from RNAcentral.